Molecule: long non-coding RNA, 1357 nt
Filed under: Volvox carteri
Lineage: Eukaryota; Viridiplantae; Chlorophyta; Chlorophyceae; Chlamydomonadales; Volvocaceae
Description: long non-coding RNA (VCAR_LNC001227)
Source: RNAcentral
UGAAUGAUUACAAAAGUGGAAGAGUUGGUAACCCGGCGGAAAUAAACAACUUGGGAGUUCCCGUGCUUGCUCGGGGGGAUCCAAACUUCGUGCUAUCCUUUUUUGUCGUUUUCCUCCUCCACGUGACUGUUGUUGGCAGUUGAAUGCGAGGCAGGCAGAUUUCCGCUGUACACAGCAGGUUAACGUGUGCCUUGGCGCACAGGUAUGCGGUCGGCGGAAGGGAGGCCAGCGGACGCAAAAGCUGCACACCUCCGCCUUCACCACCUAGGCAAGACGAAGAAUGAGCGUGUGCGAUAUAUAAAUCGGUUUUAGUAUCGUAGUUUAAUGAUUGUAUUGAAAUGACGUACGACACGAUGGGUUGCAUCCCUGUGCGCACAUCUUCAAUGGGGAUUGUUACCGGAGCAACGGAGCAACAGCUGCUCCAGAAGCGCAUGUCUGACAUCAACGUAUUGGUACCCCGUUCAGUUGCAAGACAUGCUCAUCCUUGCAUGCGUCCCCACGCAGCCGCAACCCUCACGUGGCGCUCCUUGGCGCCCAGAGUGAGGACGGCAACGGCCACGUCCACGGGCAGGGGAACGGCUAAUAAUGGCACAUGGCGACCUGGUGGCUCAGGCACCUCCGCGGACCUCCCUGGUUCUCAGGAACUAAAUCUCAGGAACUAAAUCUCAGGAACUAAGUCAGAUUCGGAUGAAAAAAGAAUAUGUACGUGUCCACAAUUAAAAGAUCUACAUGUUGACAUACGGCUAAUUAAGCAGCCCCUCGCACAAAUGUGUCCGGUCGUACUUCGCGAAUAAAGUGUUCGUACAUCGUCCUAAAAAAGCCAGGAGCGAAUUUUGCCGCGCAGAUGCGCGCGUGCGAUUCACAAAAUGCGCCUGUACAAGUGUAUAUAAAUUUUCUUGGCGGAUGAGGACCACGUGCGCCAGCGCGUUGCGCAAGUGGGCAUGUUGGCCAUAGCCGCACGCGGCAUGCAUGCUGGACUAUUGCCUGGAUGCUUUGCAGUAACUGAAAGCACCCAAUGCCAACGCCCUAGCUUGCAACUCUGGGCUCGUGAAACUACCGCGGAAGAUGAAGCGCUGGCGAAGAGGCAGUUGUAUGCAGCACCUUGUUCAGAGUAAAGUCAAAUUACAAAGUUGCGCAAAGUAUAACAUACAUAAACUUAAUUAAACAUAAGAACAGAUAAGACGUUUAGAGCCUUGUCGGUGACAUGGACGCCGCUGUUGGCUUGGAACAGCUAUUUGCUGUGCAUAGGGACGUGCCCGCGUUAGCCGUGUUGCAACAGCUCAGGAUGGAUUUCAGCCAGCAACAGCCUCAAGAGCUGCUGCACAACCACCGGGAAUGUCUUCAGUUGGGCACGUGU